CUCUCUCAGGUGAUGGUCUCUCUCAGGUGAUGGUCUCUCUCAGGUGAUGGUCUCUCUCAGGUGAUGGUCUCUCUCUCAGGUGAUGGUCUCUCUCAGGUGAUGGUCUCUCUCAGGUGAUGGUCUCUCUCAGGUGAUGGUCUCUCUCAGGUGAUGGUCUCUCUCAGGUGAUGGUCUCUCUCAGGUGAUGGUCUCUCUCAGGUGAUGGUCUCUCUCAGGUGAUGGUCUCUCUCUCAGGUGAUGGUCUCUCUCAGGUGAUGGUCUCUCUCAGGUGAUGGUCUCUCUCAGGUGAUGGUCUCUCUCAGGUGAUGGUCUCUCUCAGGUGAUGGUCUCUCUCAGGUGAUGGUCUCUCUCAGGUGAUGGUCUCUCUCUCAGGUGAUGGUCUCUCUCAGGUGAUGGUCUCUCUCAGGUGAUGGUCUCUCUCAGGUGAUGGUCUCUCUCAGGUGAUGGUCUCUCUCAGGUGAUGGUCUCUCUCAGGUGAUGGUCUCUCUCUCAGGUGAUGGUCUCUCUCAGGUGAUGGUCUCUCUCUCAGGUGAUGGUCUCUCUCUCAGGUGAUGGUCUCUCUCAGGUGAUGGUCUCUCUCAGGUGAUGGUCUCUCUCUCAGGUGAUGGUCUCUCUCAGGUGAUGGUCUCUCUCAGGUGAUGGUCUCUCUCUCAGGUGAUGGUCUCUCUCAGGUGAUGGUCUCUCUCUCAGGUGAUGGUCUCUCUCAGGUGAUGGUCUCUCUCAG
Pseudoliparis swirei is the source of this 724-nucleotide long non-coding RNA. RefSeq lists it as uncharacterized. The transcript is spliced from 3 exons. NCBI's taxonomy places the organism in Eukaryota, Metazoa, Chordata, Actinopteri, Perciformes, Liparidae. The record is from RefSeq and is a predicted model, not a curated record.